GGGGGGGGGGGGGGGGGGGGGGGGGGGGGGGGGGGGGGGGGGGGGGGGGGGGGUUGCGCCUGGGGUGGGCGGCGGACGGGGGAGGGAUGCCUGGGGAUCUGCCUGGUAGUGGGGGAGCACGUCCGUCAGCGGGCGGUACGAGCGCAUGCGUCCUGCGGGAGAAAGUGGGUAAUCUUCGGACCCCACUCGAUCGGUGGACCCUAGGUCGGAUUACCUAGUUGGUUGGUUACAGGCCUACAGAGGCGACGAUCCGUACCUGGUCUGAGAGGAUGAGCAGUCACACUGGAACUGAGACACGGUCCAGACUCCUAAGGGAGGCAGCAGUGGGGAAUAUGGGACAAUGGGCGAAAGCCUGAUCCAGCCAUGCCGCGUGUGUGAAGAAGGUCUUCGGAUUGUAAAGCACUUUAAGUUGGGAGGAAGGGCAGUAAGUUAAUACCUUGCUGUUUUGACGUUACCAACAGAAUAAGCACCGGCUAACUUCGUG
Molecule: ribosomal RNA, 484 nt
Filed under: uncultured bacterium
Lineage: Bacteria
Description: partial 16S ribosomal RNA
Rfam family: Bacterial small subunit ribosomal RNA
Source: RNAcentral